CGGGGGAGCAAGCGUUGUUCGGAUUUACUUGGCGUAAAGGGCGCGUAGGCGGCCACCGCAAGUCGACUGUGAAAUCUCCGGGCUUAACCCGGAAAGGUCAGCCGAUACUGCGGGGCUAGAGUGCAGAAGGGGCAACUGGAAUUCUCGGUGUAGCGGUGAAAUGCGUAGAUAUCGAGAGGAACACCUGCGGCGAAGGCGGGUUGCUGGGCUGACACUGACGCUGAUGCGCGAAAGCUAGGGGAGCGAACGGGAUUAGAUACCCCGGUAGUCCUAGCCUUAAACGAUGAAUGCUUGGUGUCUGGGGUUUUAUAGUCCCCGGGUGCCGUCGCUAACGCUUUAAGCAUUCCGCCUGGGGAGUACGGUCGCAAGACUG
This 373-nucleotide ribosomal RNA is filed under the name uncultured organism. Its description in RNAcentral is "bacterial SSU rRNA". It matches the Rfam family "Bacterial small subunit ribosomal RNA", at positions 527 to 896 of the family's 1533-position model. The record is from RNAcentral.